RNAcentral lists this ribosomal RNA (442 nucleotides) under uncultured bacterium. RNAcentral's name for it is "bacterial SSU rRNA". It matches the Rfam family "Bacterial small subunit ribosomal RNA", at positions 335 to 769 of the family's 1533-position model. The record is from RNAcentral.
ACUCCUACGGGAGGCAGCAGUGGGGAAUAUUGCACAAUGGGCGCAAGCCUGAUGCAGCCAUGCCGCGUGUGUGAAGAAGGCCUUCGGGUUGUAAAGCACUUUCAGUUGUGAGGAAGGUGGUGUCGUUAAUAGCGGCAUCAUUUGACGUUAGCAACAGAAGAAGCACCGGCUAACUCCGUGCCAGCAGCCGCGGUAAUACGGAGGGUGCGAGCGUUAAUCGGAAUUACUGGGCGUAAAGCGCAUGCAGGUGGUUUGUUAAGUCAGAUGUGAAAGCCCGGGGCUCAACCUCGGAACUGCAUUUGAAACUGGCAGACUAGAGUACUGUAGAGGGGGGUAGAAUUUCAGGUGUAGCGGUGAAAUGCGUAGAGAUCUGAAGGAAUACCGGUGGCGAAGGCGGCCCCCUGGACAGAUACUGACACUCAGAUGCGAAAGCGUGGGGAGC